AGUGAACGCUGGCGGUAGGCCUAACACAUGCAAGUCGAACGGCAGCACAGUAAGAGCUUGCUCUUACGGGUGGCGAGUGGCGGACGGGUGAGGAAUACAUCGGAAUCUACUUUUUCGUGGGGGAUAACGUAGGGAAACUUACGCUAAUACCGCAUACGACCUACGGGUGAAAGCAGGGGAUCUUCGGACCUUGCGCGAUUGAAUGAGCCGAUGUCGGAUUAGCUAGUUGGCGGGGUAAAGGCCCACCAAGGCGACGAUCCGUAGCUGGUCUGAGAGGAUGAUCAGCCACACUGGAACUAAGACACGGUCCAGACUCCUACGGGAGGCAGCAGUGGGAAUAUUGGACAAUGGGCGCAAGCCUGAUCCAGCCAUACCGCGUGGGUGAAGAAGGCCUUCGGGUUGUAAAGCCCUUUUGUUGGGAAAGAAAAGCAGCAGGUUAAUACCCCGCUGUUCUGACGGUACCCAAAGAAUAAGCACCGGCUAACUUCGUG
RNAcentral lists this ribosomal RNA (491 nucleotides) under uncultured bacterium. RNAcentral describes it as "partial 16S ribosomal RNA". It matches the Rfam family "Bacterial small subunit ribosomal RNA", at positions 29 to 507 of the family's 1533-position model. The record is from RNAcentral.